Molecule: ribosomal RNA, 440 nt
Filed under: uncultured bacterium
Lineage: Bacteria
Description: partial 16S ribosomal RNA
Rfam family: Bacterial small subunit ribosomal RNA
Source: RNAcentral
CCUACGGGUGGCAGCAGUGGGGAAUAUUGCACAAUGGGGGAAACCCUGAUGCAGCGACGCCGCGUGAGGGAAGAAGGAAUUAGGGAUAGAAAGCUCUAUCAGCAGGGAAGAAAAGGACGGUACCUGAGUAAGAAGCCCCGGCUAACUACGUGCCAGCAGCCGCGGUAAGACGGAGGGGGCAAGCGUUAUCCGGAGUUACUGGGUGUAAAGGGGGCGUAGACGGCGGUGCCAGUCUGGAGUGAAAGGCUGGGGCUCAACCCCCGGAUUGCUCUGGAAACUGUACGGCUGGAGUGCAGGAGAGGUAAGUGGAAUUCCUUGUGUAGCGGUGCAAUGCGUAGUUAUUACGCGGAACCCCAGUUGCGACGGCGGCUUACUGGACUGUAACUGACGUUGCGGCUCGACCGCGUGGGUAUCAAACAGGAUUAGAUACCCUUGUAGUC